RNAcentral lists this ribosomal RNA (443 nucleotides) under uncultured Alphaproteobacteria bacterium. RNAcentral describes it as "bacterial SSU rRNA". It matches the Rfam family "Bacterial small subunit ribosomal RNA", at positions 29 to 505 of the family's 1533-position model. Lineage: Bacteria; Pseudomonadati; Pseudomonadota; Alphaproteobacteria. The record is from RNAcentral.
AACGAACGCUGGCGGCAGGCCUAACACAUGCAAGUCGAACGAUGAAACCUAGCUUGCUAGGUGGAUUAGUGGCGCACGGGUGAGUAACGCGUGGGAAUGUACCCUUUGGUGCGGAAUAGCCCCGGGAAACUGGGAAUAAUACCGCAUAAUAACUCCGGUUCAAAGAUUUAUCGCCAGGGGAUCGGCCCGCGUGACAUUAGCUUGUUGGUAAGGUAACGGCUUACCAAGGCUACGAUGUCUAGCUGGUCUGAGAGGAUGAUCAGCCACACUGGAACUGAGACACGGUCCAGACUCCUACGGGAGGCAGCAGUGGGGAAUAUUGGACAAUGGGCGCAAGCCUGAUCCAGCCAUGCCGCGUGAGUGAAGAAGGCCUUAGGGUUGUAAAGCUCUUUCAGAAGUGAAGAUAAUGACGGUAGCUUCAGAAGAAGCCCCGGCUAACUUCG